GAUGAACGCUGGCGGCGUGCUUAACACAUGCAAGUCGAACGGAAAGGCUCCUGCUUGCAGGGGUACUCGAGUGGCGAACGGGUGAGUAACACGUGGGUGAUCUGCCCUGCACUUCGGGAUAAGCCGGGGAAACUGGGUCUACUACCGGCGAGGACGAUGGUUUGGAUGCCAUUGUGGAAAGCUGUGUCGGUGUGGGAUGCGCGCGCGGCCUAUCAGCUUGUUGGUGGGGUAAUGGCCUACCAAGGCGUCGACGGGUAGCCGGCCUGAGGGGGUGGACGGCGACCAUGGGCCUGAGGGACGGCGCAGACGCCUACGGGAGGCAGCGGGGGGGAGUAUGGCACAAUGGGGGCAAGCCUGUUGCAGCGGCGCCGGGUGUGGGAUGACGGCCUUCGGGUUGUAAACUCCUGUCGCUAGGGACGAAGCGCAAGUGACGGUACCUGGAGAAGAAGCACCGGCUAACUACGUG
Molecule: ribosomal RNA, 466 nt
Filed under: uncultured bacterium
Lineage: Bacteria
Description: partial 16S ribosomal RNA
Rfam family: Bacterial small subunit ribosomal RNA
Source: RNAcentral